CCGCACCUGCUUCUAGAGAUCUGCGGAGCUGUCAACACGGUCUAAGGGAGACAAGGGGACUGUGGCUCAUCUCAGUACUGGGAUCGCGAAGAGGAAGGCGCAGGGAAAAGAGAUCUUGGAGUAACUGUCCUGGAGUGAUGGAAGACCUCGGAACCAGAUCGUCCCUUCCUUCACAGUGCACAGAAAUGGGGAAACUGAGGCGGGGCGGGGAAGCAGAUCAGGAGCAGUAUUUAAUGAUACACACACACCCAGGGCGAGGUCCUGACGGGUUGGGAUCCCGGUGCAGGUAUCCAGACUCCGGGACUAAGCUGUUGGCCACCUCGCCUUACGCCGCAGGCGUCGCUCAUAUGGCUCAGCUGACGCUGGGCGGUGCACACUGAGGAGACGUUGGCACGUCCUGCCCUCUCGCCAUCCUGCCCACAGGGUGACCGAUUCCCUUGUGACGUCAGGCGUCCAGCGCAAGGCGUGGAAACAGACUGACAGGAGAGUCUGCGUGGGGAGGCACAGGUGGAUUCUGCCGCGCGCCGGUGGUGACAACAGGUUCUAGACAAGGCACUGGGAGCAGAGGGUCAUGUGGCUCAUGAUAAUACAAAAUGUCCUGCCAGGGAAAAAUCAAGGGAAAAUAUGUGGUGUCUUCCAUUUCCGGGGACACUUGCUGGAAGUGGCUCUGUUCAACAUGUGUAUUUACUGCGCUGCACCCUGGUGGGAGAGUGCUCCAUUGCUGCCUGCUGUCACAGAGCACCAUCGCAAGCCUCUGCCCUCACCGACAGAGGAACAGGAUAGAAGCAACGGUUUUCUGCUGGGUUACUUCCCAAUUCUGAGGCUUUGGUGCCAGUGUGUUCCUAGCCUGUGACCACUGUGUGAUUAGGCCCAGGAUGGGGAAGGAACUGCCUUAAUCUCUUCUAGUCUCCUGGCUGGUUACCUAGUUACCUGACUCUCAGUUCCCUUGCUUCUAGUGGUACCCCACCCAACACACAGUUGACUGAGAAGCAAGCUAACCCCAUGUCUAGUUCAGAUGGUUCUGGAUGAUUACAGGAUGAGCACAUACCAUGAAGACAGCACUAGACCACUUCAGCCGUCACCCAGAGUCCCCUAGACACAAAGGAUUCUAUCUAGGAGGGCAGAGGACCCAAGUCUGGCAGCUGGUAGGCCAACUAGUUGAGGAACAGUGUCUCUGAUCCUCAAGAUGAUUUCAAUGAUGCCCCUCCUGGUCAGGACAUUUUAGGAGUGGGUGCACACCUGUGACAGCCACGCCUCUCAUGGGAAGUCAGCCUGUGAAGGAAGUCACAUUCAGGACAUCCUGCAAGAGUGAGCCCAGAGCCCCUGGAUCAGGCCAGUCCUGAGAUCUACCUCUAACCUUUAGGGCCAGAGCCAAUGGAAACCUUUCUGUUUGAGCCAAGUGGACUUGAGCUUUUCUUGUUUUGAACACCCUUCCUGAGCUCCCAGAUCAUCAGGUUUUUACUCCAAUGGAAUGAAUAAAUGCCAGUGAGAUUAGGCA
Long non-coding RNA from Mesocricetus auratus (golden hamster), 1498 nucleotides. RefSeq lists it as uncharacterized. The record is from RefSeq and is a predicted model, not a curated record. NCBI's taxonomy places the organism in Eukaryota, Metazoa, Chordata, Mammalia, Rodentia, Cricetidae. The transcript has 3 exons.